AUGACGACCGGCGCACGGGUGCGCACCGCGUAUGGAACCUACCUUUUACAGAGGGAUAGCCCAGGGAAACUUGGAUUAAUACCUUAUAGUAUCAUUUUUUAGCAUUAUUAAAUGAUUAAAGCUUUCGGGCGGUAAAAGAUGGCCAUGCGUCCCAUAAGCUAGUUGGUAAGGUAACGGCUUACCAAGGCUACGAUGGGUAGGGGCCCUGAGAGGGGGAUCCCCCACACUGGUACUGAGACACGGACCAG
Molecule: ribosomal RNA, 248 nt
Filed under: uncultured bacterium
Lineage: Bacteria
Description: partial 16S ribosomal RNA
Rfam family: Bacterial small subunit ribosomal RNA
Source: RNAcentral